This 66-nucleotide transfer RNA is filed under the name Simianus niponicus. Its description in RNAcentral is "tRNA-Pro". The record is from RNAcentral. Lineage: Eukaryota; Metazoa; Arthropoda; Insecta; Coleoptera; Callirhipidae.
CAGAGAAUAGUUUAAUUAAAAUAUUAAUUUUGGAGAUUAAUGAUAGGAUUUCAGUUCUUUUUCUGA